AAGAGUUUGAUCAUGGCUCAGGACGAACGCUGGCGGCGUGCUUAACACAUGCAAGUCGAACGGUAAGGCCCUUCGGGGUACACGAGUGGCGAACGGGUGAGUAACACGUGGGUGAUCUGCCCUGCACUUCGGGAUAAGCCUGGGAAACUGGGUCUAAUACCGGAUAGGACCAUGGACUUCACGGUUUGUGGUGGAAAGCUUUUGCGGUGUGGGAUGGGCCCGCGGCCUAUCAGCUUGUUGGUGGGGUAAUGGCCUACCAAGGGCGACGACGGGUAGCCGGCCUGAGAGGGUGUCCGGCCACACUGGGACUGAGAUACGGCCCAGACUCCUACGGGAGGCAGCAGUGGGGAAUAUUGCACAAUGGGCGCAAGCCUGAUGCAGCGACGCCGCGUGAGGGAUGACGGCCUUCGGGUUGUAAACCUCUUUCAAUAGGGACGAAGCGCAAGUGACGGUACCUAUAGAAGAAGCACCGGCCAACUACGUG
Molecule: ribosomal RNA, 484 nt
Filed under: uncultured bacterium
Lineage: Bacteria
Description: bacterial SSU rRNA
Rfam family: Bacterial small subunit ribosomal RNA
Source: RNAcentral